GAAAGAAAAAAAAAAAAAGCAAAAGUUCUACAUACGACCUGCAAAGUUGCAACUUCAACCUCCAUGAAACACUGAUUUUAUGGAUAUUUGUAUGUGAUUUUCGCCUUUUCACCAAAAAAAAAAACAAAACCUCCAUGAAACUAUGUUUGCACCCAAAAAAAAAAUUUAACAGAACUCCCUUGUUAUCGUUGAUAUUCCUUCUCUUUUGGGCUAAAUUUAACGUGUAUCUCCAAUUUUGAAAUUCCCAAAUAUCUGCAAUCUUAAUUUACCUCAUUAAUACUUCAUAUAAUAAGGAAUCAAUCAUCCCAAAAUGGGUCAAAGUCAAACAAAGACGAAGAAGAUGAUGAUCAAGAACUAGAGGAAGUCACCCAGAACAGAACAGCCAAGAUUCAAGAGUAAGGAACGAUCUGCACCCACUUUGUUUUUUCAUGCCUACUACAUGUUUGUUAAAAUGCCCAAAAGAAUAGAUUAAUUCAAAAGCUAAGUCUCAUCAUAUAUGUUUACUUUGUUCUAUGUAGUUAUUUAUGAAGUUUAGCGUUGGUUUUGGAGAAGGUGAUCAAAAUUUGUCAAACAUCUAGGAAUUGCUUAGGAAAGAUAAUUAGUCCGAGAACCAACCCCUACUAGGUAACUAGCAAUGGGCAAUGCCCUGGAAUUCGGGGUGGUACUCCAUUGAGCUACCACCUCUUCCAACAUCUGAGAAUUGCUAAUUAUCAAUUUGUUAACCCGUUUUUCAUAAGCUAAGCUUACAGAUAUAGAUGGGUCAAACUCAAACAAAGUACAUUAAGAAGAUAAAGAAUAAGAGAAGGGCAAAAUUCGACUGCAAGGAGGAAUAUUUUAUUAAGAAUGGAGGUAUUUUGCUAGAGAAACAAAUUGCUCUGAGCCAAGGACAGCAUAAAGGAGCAGGGCAGUUGAAAAUUUUCUCGAGCCAGGAUAUUGCAAAGGCUACGAACAACUAUGACCCUGAUCUCAUUGUUGGAACUAGUGCUUACGGUACUGUCUAUAAGACAACCAUUGAUGAUCGUAUGGUAGUCGUCAAAGCCUUGUUAGAGCGAGAGCCAAAUCCUGAACAGAUUGAUCUCUUUUUAACUGAAGCCUCAACGGUGAUGGUUAUGAAUCAUGACAAUAUGGUAAAAUUCUAUGGCUGUUGCCUUGAGACAUGUAUACCAAUACUAGUGUAUGAGUACUUAUCAAAUGCCGACCUUUUUGAGAGGUUACAUGGUGAUGUUAUAAAGUGGGCUGAUCGUUUGAGAGUUGCAACUGAUAUAGCCUAUGCGCUAUCUUAUAUGCAUAAUGCCUUAUCAAAGCCAGUGGUGCACAGGCAUGUUAACUCAAUGGGUAUAAUCCUUGAUUAUUCAUUCAAUGGAAAAUUAGCAGACUUUUUGUAUUCAGUGUCCAUAACUCCGGGGGAGACUCCUGCAACUAGAUGGCCUGUUGAAGGAACUCCAGGAUAUAUUGAUCCCGAAUACAUAGAAACACAAGAGGUGACAGAAAAGUGUGAUGUGUAUAGUUUUGGGGUUUUGAUGUUGGAACUAUUAACUAGAAAGCAGCCCCUUAUGAUGGCCAGAGGUGGGAUAGACUUGGUUGACGUGUUUGUUUCAGCCGUGCAGAAAAAUUGCAUGAUGGAGAUGGUUGACACGGUGGUCUUAGAGCAAGCCACCAUGAACGAGAUUAGACAGUUUGUACAACUUGCAUUGAUGUGUGUGGCAAAAAAAGGAACUGAGAGACCGACUAUGGUUGAUGUAGUUGGUGAGCUUUGGAAGAUACAAGGUCGAGACAAGAAGUGAAUUGAAAAUUGUACUUAGCAUGUUGAACUUGAAGCUUAGAAAGCAAGAUUCAUAAGAGCAAGACGCAGAGCAGAAUACAACAUGCAACUAAUAUGUUAGCGAGUAAGUUAUAAAUACCAAAAAUUUGAGUACUGGAGCUUUCUUUUUGUUUAUGCAGUUUUAUGAUCUAUGUAAAAAAACAUGAAGAAGGUUUACUAAAAGUUAAUUAAUAGUCCAUUUGGUAGCCAACAAUAGAUGGUGGGAAUGGUAAUGAGUUCAUGUGUAGUUUUGUAAAGAAAAUUUGGCGACUCAUGCCAAUUCCCAUGGCAAUAGAACUCAUCCCAUGUGUUCUUUUACUUCACAAAUUUCCAUUACCAAACUGGUUGUAACUUUUGUGUAUCUAGACUAUACUUUGGCUAUGGACAAAACAGUAGUUCAGGAUCCUUCUUGAAUCAUAUCUUUAAAGUCUGGUAAUAGUAUUUCCUAUGCAUUCAUUUUCUGCUUCGAGCUUUUCUAUAUUGAGCUAAAUAUGCCCUGUAGUUGAGUAGUAUUAGUAGAGGUUCUUGAAAAUAAUGAACCUUAAGAAUCAGGUGUCAAUUUCUGCCUAUUGUUGUUUUCUUUUCUUUUUUCUAAAUAUCAAAUGGGGUUGUUAAUAUUGCUUGAUGCUUUUGCUUCCAUUGCUUUAUUCUUGAAAUCUCAUCUGCUCCAAUAUUAGUUAAUCUCAUCUGUCAACGUUGGUGGUGGUAUUUGUCACUGGAAACAGCUAUAAAGAGAACAUGUUUAGGAGUGAGAUGACUCAGUGUGUGGAGCUGGAUUUACAAAUUACUUCCUUAUCACAUGUUCAGUCUUGAAUUGUUCUUUAUUUAGUCUCAUAUGGCAGCUAACUUCCAUGGAAUUGGGUUUAAUACUUAAGGGCUAAGGCUGAUCAGGUUUGCAUUCGUAGUUCAGAUACACUAGUAGUAGUUGUACAGAACAGUACAGCACAGCAAAUUUAUCUCAGUCGACAUGACCACUAUGAUGCUUCGUCCAAGCCAAAGCUAGACCGACCGAACCUUGCCUCCUCCAGGGACAAACAAACAAACCAUUAUGCAUGAACUUUCAAACACAAUUUAAUGCCGGUGAAUUUGUGUGGGCUAAACUCAUGCUAUGUGGCUGUUUAAAUCACUCUUUGAUUUUUCAGCAUGAGAAUUUCCUAGUAGGAAUAAAAACUGUCUAUCUACUGUAGUUUUUUUAUUGACUCUUUUCUGUUUUCUAGUGGGUGCAUUACUUUCUGCAUAACUGUAGUAUUCUCUGAUUCAUACUUAACUAACUUUAUAGUGUGUACUUAUUUUGAUAGUUCUAUUAUACCCUUCACCUAAUGAAUGUUAGGACUUGGUAUGUUUUCACAAUUUUUACAUAUAAAUUUUGGUUGUUAGUGGUCCCUGGUCAUUAAUAUUUAUUUUGGUGGAAAUUUUUUCACAUGUAAUCUCUUGUAUGUGACAAGUCUAUUGCUGUCUUUCAUUUGUUAAAUUUCUCCAUUUACCAUGUUUCCCUGAUGUCUUGUUGACAACAAUCUUGACUAAGGUAGGUCUUACUACAAUAAUUAUCUUUCUUGAAGAACGAUCUCACUGAUCAGCAACAACCUGUUACUCGACUUGCCGGAGAGCAGACAGAAUUUCCAGAACAGUUCAGUCAAUUAUACCGGCUGAGCAACCAAUUGGCCCAAAACAAAACCUUUCACCCUUAUAUAGAUGGGUCAAGUUCAAACAAAAAAUAAGAUCAAGAUCAAGAGCAAGAGCAAGAGCAAGAGCAAGAACAGGAGAAAAUCGAAGUUUGAUUCCAGGGAAGAAUACUUCGUUAGAAAUGGAGGUAUUUUGUUGGAAAAACAAAUUGCUCUGAGCCAAGGUCGAGAUGUAGGAGCUAGCCAGCUGAAAAUUUUAACAUGUAAGGAUAUCGAAAAGGCUACAAACAACCUCGAUCCCGACCUUCUUCUUGGCAGUGAUGCUCAGGAAAAGGCCUAUCGAGCAAUUAUUGAGGAUCGUAAUGUAUUCAUUAAAGUUCCAUCGCAGCCAGAGCGAAAUUCCCAACUGAUUGAUCGCAAUUUAACUGAAGCCGCAGCUGUGAUGGUGAUGAAUCAUGACAAUAUGAUAAAACUCUAUGGUUGUUGCCUUGAUACUUUUAUACCAAUACUAGUGUAUGAAUUCUUGCCAAACGGAUGCCUUUUCCUACAUUUACACGGUUAUGAUGCGCCUCGCAAGCGUAUAAAGUGGGCUGAUCGUUUGAGGGUUGCUACUGACAUAGCCGACGCACUAUCUUAUAUGCAUAAUGCCUUGUCGAAGCCAGUGGUACAUAGAGAUGUCAACUCAUCAAGUAUUUUUAUCGAUUACUCCUCCUUCCGUGGAAAAUUAGCAAACUUUGGUUAUUCCGUGUCUAUUACUCCAGGGAAGACUCCCAAAAAAUGGCCUGUUCAAGGAACUCUGGGAUAUAUUGAUCCUGAAUACGUUGAAACUCAAGAGGUGACAGAGAAGUGUGAUGUUUAUAGUUUCGGAGUUUUGGUGUUGGAGCUAUUAACCAGAAGACAGCCCCUUAUGAUGGCAAAACAUGGGACAGACUUGGUUGACAUGUUUGUUUCAGCUGUAAAGCAGAAUUGCAUGAUAGAGAUGUUUGAUAUUGAGGUACUGGAACAAGCAACUCGGGAUGAGAUUCAACGGGUUACACAGCUUGCAUUGGCAUGUGUGGCAAAGAAAGGGACUGAGAGACCGACUAUGAUUGAUAUCGUUAGUGAGCUCUGGAACAUACAAGGCCGAGACAAGAAAUGAUGUGGAAAUCGUAAUGCUUCUCGUGUCUGGUUCAAGCUCAGAAAGAAAGACCCAGAAGUGCAAGGCACAUAGCAAAAUACAACAAACAGGUUACAAAUUAGUUUGAGUAUCAAGAAUUGUCUUCUUAGCCAAUGUUAAUUUGAUAAGACAUACAUAAAUGAUAUGUAUUUACUAUAGGUGUAAGACUGUAUUUGGCAUAGGUGUAAGACUCUACAUGAAAAAAGAACUUUUUUUUAGAAAUAAGUAAGAAAAAUAUUUGAUUCUGGAUAUCUGAUUAACUUCAUCAGCUCCAUUCUGAAUUACUUAAUUGGCAUUGAAGUUCCAUGGAGCUGGGUUGUUUCUUCUUGACAGAGGUGUGUGUGAUAGUGCAGAUCAAUAAAUCACUGAAAAUCUAUCUCAGAAGUUAAGACCACAAGACCAUUAUCUAUUCUGAUGGCUGGCUGUGGUGGGCUAUAGUUUUUCUGGUGGUAGAAGUGUAGAACUACUAGCAAUAUCACAUGUCUUGUAGGUGCAAAGAUCAGAGCUAACUACUUCCUCAGUUUCAAAAUACUCGCUACACUUUUCAUUACGGAAGUUUCACAUUACUUGCUACACUUCUUUUUUGGGCAAUAAACUCUCUCUAUCUCUCUCCUCCUACAUGAGACCCUUUUCUUUUUACUCUCUACCUCUCUCUUCUCCAAAAAUUGUCUAGGAGUCCGUGAAUUGAGAAGUGUAGCAAGUAAUAUAAAACGGAAGAAGUAGUAACUAGCUAAGAACAACUAGGAAAAUAGUUGAAUAAGGGGUAAAUUAUAACUCCAAAUUAAUGUUUCAUCUUGUGCCAUACUCUCUUCUAGUUUUGUCACCUCAUCAAUCUAAAGUCUACUACAGUAGGUGGUAGAUGGGAGCUCCCUGAUUUUUUUUAUACCCACUUUCGUUUUUAGAUUGUUCCUUAUUAGUUUAACUUUUUUUUCCAGUUUCUAGAAUGACCCCACUAAUUGUGUAGAUCGAGAAUCAAAAAAAUAAAGAAAGGAAAAGAGAAUGGAUCACCAGAAUAGUGUUGGGUUAGAGUGAAAUAAAAUAGACUUGUUAGAAAAAAUUCAGUAUUAAAUUUGUCUAAUUUACGUUAAAAUUCAACCGCCUAUUCUAAUAAUUUGUGAAAGAGACAUAUCAUCAUCUUUUAAGUAAUUUCAUUAGAAGGUAGAUACAAAGAGGGUGACACAUGAGAGUUCCCAAAACUUUUUUUCUUAUCUAAAAAACAAAAAAAAUCCAAAAGGUCAAUAAAAUUGUACUCCCAUUUGGUGACAAUUUCUAAUCAAUUUUAAAAAAAAGUAACCCAAAGUUUGAAUCUUUUAAAGAGAUGAGUGAGUGAGAGAUUCAUAGUUGGUGACAUAUUCGAUCAUUUUACCUCUCUGUGUAGUACAGGAGUACAGGGUAUUUCGAAACGUCUUUCCGCCGUCUAUAUUAGACGUUUCAAAGCCUGAAACUUGAAUUCUAGUAAAGCGAAACGGUGGAGGUGAACAAUUUUGUGUUUCAUACUCACUUAUUCCGCUCAAAACAAAGUGUUCAAGUGUCUCAGGCUCUCAGCCAUGUCCGAGUGUCGAGGAUCUGACACGAGUACUUGAGGUGAAAUGAAGAGUCCGAGCAAAAUAGAUUGGGAAUAAUGUCACAUAUCUGUCUAUUGUGCUAAACAAAACUUGCUCCUUUGGCGAUAUUUUGUGCUAGGUUCAGCAAAAAAUAUAGUCCAAAACAAGGCCCUAAUAGAUGGAUCAAGCUCAAAGAAGAAACAAGAUGGAAAAUAAGAAUCAUAGAAAGCCGAAGUUUGAUCCGAGGAAGGAGUAUUUCUUUAAGAAUGGAGGUAUUUUGCUGGAAAAACAACUGGCUUUGAGCCAAGGCCUAGAUAUAGGACCAGGGCAGCUGAAAGUUUUCUCACACAAGGAUGUCAGGAAGGCUACGAACCAGUUUGAUCCUGAUCUUCUGGUAGGCAGUAGUACUCAUAGAAACGUCUACAAAGCAACCAUUGGAGAUCGUGAAGUAGUUGUUGGAGUCCCAUUACAGCGAGAGCCAAAUCCUACUAUGAUUGAUCGCAACUUAACUGAAGCCUCGAUUGCAAUAGUUAUGAGUCAUGACAAUAUGGUUAAACUCUAUGGUUGUUGCCUCGAGACUUGCGUACCGAUGCUUAUGUAUGAAGUGUUACCAAAUGGAAACCUCUCUGAGCACUUACAUGGUGACAUUGCAUCUAGCAGUCGUAUAAAGUGGGCUGAUCGUUUGAGGGUUGCCACCGAUACAGCAUAUGCGCUAUCUUAUAUGCAUAAUGCCUUGCGAAAGCCAGUAGUGCACAGGGGAGUUCACUCUUUAAGUGUACUUCUUGAUAAUUUGUUCCAUGCCAAGUUAGCAAACUUUGGCUACUCAGUGUCCAUUACUCCAGGGGAUACUUCCCAAAGAUGGCCUGUUCAAGGAACUCCAGGAUAUGUUGAUCCCGAGUAUAUCCAAACUCAAGUUUUGACAGAUAAGUGUGAUGUAUAUAGCUUUGGGGUUUUGAUGCUGGAGUUGUUAACUGGGAGGAAUCCCAUUAGGAUGCUUAGAGGUGGGAGAGACUUGGUUGAUGUGUUUGUUUCAGCUGUGGAGAAAAAUGACAUGAUAAAGAUGAUAGAUAGCGAGGUCUUGGAGCAAGCAAGUAGGCAUGAGAUUCAACAGUUUGCACAGAUUGCAUUGACAUGUGUGGCAAAGAAAGGGGCUGAGAGACCAACUAUGAUUGAAAUCGUUGUGCAGCUUCGGCAGAUGCGAGCUCAAUUGAAUAUACCUCAGUUAAUGAAACACAAGUAACAUCUAUGUAUCCAGGGUAAGAAUGGGUAGUUAUAGAGUUUGGUUACUAUUCUUUUCCUGUCAUUUUUUUUUUCAAGGGAUGAAGAUUGUGGUAGAUAUCCUCCCUGAUGUGUUUUUUCAUAUAUUGAUGUGUUAGAGGCUGACUGAUAUCUACUGAUGUCUGCAGUAUCAUAGUUAAUUUUAAUGAUAGAAUGUCAUUUAACAAAUCAAUAAUGAUAUGUUGUUUUGGCUUGGCAAGAGUUGAUUAUCACACUCUUAUUAGGCUAUGUUUGUUGCUAUU
This is an RNA transcript of Beta vulgaris subsp. vulgaris (sugar beet), 7643 nucleotides long. It is a transcript of the gene named putative wall-associated receptor kinase-like 16, with no coding region annotated. The transcript has 3 exons. Lineage: Eukaryota; Viridiplantae; Streptophyta; Magnoliopsida; Caryophyllales; Amaranthaceae. The record is from RefSeq and is a predicted model, not a curated record.